Molecule: long non-coding RNA, 308 nt
Organism: Perognathus longimembris pacificus (Pacific pocket mouse)
Lineage: Eukaryota; Metazoa; Chordata; Mammalia; Rodentia; Heteromyidae
Exons: 3
Source: RefSeq, a predicted model, not a curated record
GAACAGAUUUCUCAGAAAAAGUCCCAGUGGAACAAGAUUCCUCAUUACAUACUACCUGGCUGCAUUACCACUCCUUAACUUGGUCUAACUGAGCUCUUCAAUCACUUGAUUCUUUCACACUAAAAUGCACGAGAACAAAUAGUACAGUUAAGUGUGGAAGAUGGUCUAAGUGUAGAAGACAAUCUACUACUUUUUAUCAGAUACAGAUGGAACAACAAAAAGAAUACAAAUUGCCAUAUUCCCCUCCAUGACCGUUAGCAAAUCUGUUCAUUUCUUUCUCAUCCUUAGGUCCUGAUUGAUAGGAGGAA